AUUGAACGCUGGCGGCAUGCCUUACACAUGCAAGUCGAACGGUAACAGGUCUUCGGAUGCUGACGAGUGGCGAACGGGUGGGUAAUACAUCGGAACGUGCCCGAUCGUGGGGGAUAACGAGGCGAAAGCUUUGCUAAUACCGCAUACGAUCUACGGAUGAAAGCGGGGGAUCUUCGGACCUCGCGCGGACGGAGCGGCCGAUGGCAGAUUAGGUAGUUGGUGGGAUAAAAGCUUACCAAGCCGACGAUCUGUAGCUGGUCUGAGAGGAUGAUCAGCCACACUGGGACUGAGACACGGCCCAGACUCCUACGGGAGGCAGCAGUGGGGAAUUUUGGACAAUGGGCGAAAGCCUGAUCCAGCCAUGCCGCGUGCAGGAUGAAGGCCUUUGGGUUGUAAACUGCUUUUGUACGGAACGAAAAGCCUCUUUCUAAUAAAGAGGGGUCAUGACGGUACCGUAAGAAUAAGCACCGGCUAACUACGUG
Molecule: ribosomal RNA, 482 nt
Filed under: uncultured bacterium
Lineage: Bacteria
Description: partial 16S ribosomal RNA
Rfam family: Bacterial small subunit ribosomal RNA
Source: RNAcentral